CUGGUGUACCAGUUGUCGUGCCAACGGCAUAGCUGGGUAGCUAUGUAUGGACGGGAUAAGUGCUGAAAGCAUCUAAGCAUGAAGCCCCCCUCGAGAUGAGAUUUCCCAACUUCGGUUAUAAGAUCCCUCAAAGAUGAUGAGGUAAAUAGGUUCGAGGUGGAAGCGUAGCGAUACGUGGAGCUGACGAAUACUAAUCGAUCGAAGACUUAAUCAACAU
RNAcentral lists this ribosomal RNA (217 nucleotides) under Staphylococcus pseudintermedius. Its description in RNAcentral is "partial 23S ribosomal RNA". It matches the Rfam family "Bacterial large subunit ribosomal RNA", at positions 2709 to 2925 of the family's 2925-position model. The record is from RNAcentral. Lineage: Bacteria; Bacillati; Bacillota; Bacilli; Caryophanales; Staphylococcaceae.